This 532-nucleotide ribosomal RNA is filed under the name uncultured bacterium. RNAcentral describes it as "bacterial SSU rRNA". It matches the Rfam family "Bacterial small subunit ribosomal RNA", at positions 977 to 1509 of the family's 1533-position model. The record is from RNAcentral.
GGCCUUGACAUACUAAGAACUUUCCAGAGAUGGAUUGGUGCCUUCGGGAACUUAGAUACAGGUGCUGCAUGGCUGUCGUCAGCUCGUGUCGUGAGAUGUUGGGUUAAGUCCGCAACGAGCGCAACCCUUUUCCUUAUUUGCCAGCGGGUUAAGCCGGGAACUUUAAGGAUACUGCCAGUGACAAACUGGAGGAAGGCGGGGACGACGUCAAGUCAUCAUGGCCCUUACGGCCAGGGCUACACACGUGCUACAAUGGUCGGUACAAAGGGUUGCUACCUCGCGAGAGGAUGCUAAUCUCAAAAAGCCGAUCGUAGUCCAGAUCGCAGUCUGCAACUAGACUGCGUGAAGUCGGAAUCGCUAGUAAUCGCGGAUCAGAAUGCCGCGGUGAAUACGUUCCCGGGCCUUGUACACACCGCCCGUCACACCAUGGGAGUUUGUUGCACCAGAAGUAGGUAGUCUAACCGCAAGGAGGACGCUUACCACGGUGUGGCCGAUGACUGGGGUGAAGUCGUAACAAGGUAGGCGUAGAUGA